Molecule: long non-coding RNA, 631 nt
Organism: Erinaceus europaeus (western European hedgehog)
Lineage: Eukaryota; Metazoa; Chordata; Mammalia; Eulipotyphla; Erinaceidae
Exons: 4
Source: RefSeq, a predicted model, not a curated record
CCGAAAGCCCGCCCGUCCGACCGACGGGGCGGCGGUUUCCAUUUUGAGCCGAGCACCCCGGGACCCCUCCCAGGGGCCGCACGACUCACUCCGGCCCCCCGACUUCGCCGCCGCUCCCGGCGGGGCCAGGAUGUUGCUAAGUUGGGACGCACUGAAGAUAAAACCCACCCAGCAACGCACAACUUUCCGCGCGGGCUUGGGAGCCGAGCCGCAACUCCCCCGCACCCACAUCGUAGCUUCUUAAACAAUGAAAAAGAAAAAAAAAAAGUUAACUUUGCUAAGCACCCAAGUUUCUUUCUUAAAGGCAUGUUGCCCGAUCCUUUUCCCCAAACUCCAAGACCAGGGGGCGGACUUUCGUUCGUUUCGCGCAGUUUCUUGGUGACUUGGUAAUGAGUUCCAGAUUUCAGGACUGAGCGGGGUGCGUGUAAAACCACAAACGAGAAGGCCGAUUCCUCGAACUUCCUCGGCUUUUCCAGCUCCGAGCGGGCGCUCCCCUCCCUCGCCACCGGGGCGCGGGCUCCCGCGGCCAGCCUGGCCCCCUAGCUCCGGGGUUGUUUACCGACCCCGCCGACGGUACGGGUUUGUUCCAGCUCCCAGCGCCCGUCUCUAUAAUUAAACUUUUUUUUUUUAA